UUGUAGCCCUUCUUCUGCUCGCUCUCGGUGGUGGCGGUGCCGAACACCUUGUCCAGCUUCUCGAAGGCCGACUUGGACCAGAUGCAGAAGCGGCCCAGGUGGCCGCCGGGGGCCAGCUGCAGCAGGUUCAGGCGGUCCACGGAGGUCACCUCCACGCCGGGCAGGUUGCGGAAGGCCUUGGAGAUGCCCUCGUCGUUGGCGAAGACAACCAGGGGGCCCUUGCGCAUCACGUAACGCCGGUUGCGCAUCUUGCCUGGGGGCGGAUGGGAGAGAGCAGGUGUUGUUAAGCGUUGGAAGGGGUGUCAGGCAUUGGUUUGCCGGGAACUGGUGCCCCGGAGGAAGCGAUGAGCGGGUGCCGAAAGUGGUGGCGCUGAGGCGCGGCGGUCAGGACCCAGGCCGUGCGCGCUCAUCGUGG
Molecule: long non-coding RNA, 415 nt
Filed under: Chlamydomonas reinhardtii
Lineage: Eukaryota; Viridiplantae; Chlorophyta; Chlorophyceae; Chlamydomonadales; Chlamydomonadaceae
Description: long non-coding RNA (CREI_LNC000806)
Source: RNAcentral